Molecule: unclassified non-coding RNA, 431 nt
Filed under: fungal sp.
Lineage: Eukaryota; Fungi
Description: partial internal transcribed spacer region
Rfam family: Eukaryotic small subunit ribosomal RNA (bases 1-46)
Source: RNAcentral
AAGUCGUAACAAGGUUUCCGUAGGUGAACCUGCGGAAGGAUCAUUAACAACACCCCUUAUAACCAUUAUAACCAUCAAUACUAAACCCCCCCUAGGGAUUAAAGAGGAAUAUGGAUAGAUUAGACACAGAGGAAGAAUUAGAUAAUCACACCCCCUCUCUUUCUCUCUCUUUGUGUGUGUUCUCUCUGUGUUUCUCUCUUUUCCUUUUCACCCCCAUUUUUUUUCUUUUAUUUUAAACUCAUCUCGUUAAAUCGAUUACUUUGUGUGUGCUUUUUGUUAAGCUAGCUGCUUUUGUGUAUGAAUACACUCAUACCCAAAGCUCUCACUCCUCCUGCCUAACAAAAAAACCACCAAACCAAAACAAAAACAUUAAAACAAAACAAAAUAUAAUAUAAGAUACAACUCUUAACAAUGGAUGUCUUGGCUCUCGC